CCUACGGGAGGCAGCAGUGAGGAAUAUUGGUCAAUGGGCGCGAGCCUGAACCAGCCAAGUAGCGUGAAGGAUGACUGCCCUACGGGUUGUAAACUUCUUUUGUAAAGGAAUAAAGUGCGGCACGUGUGCCUUUUUGUAUGUACUUUAUGAAUAAGGAUCGGCUAACUCCGUGCCAGCAGCCGCGGUAAUACGGAGGAUCCGAGCGUUAUCCGGAUUUAUUGGGUUUAAAGGGAGCGUAGAUGGGUUGUUAAGUCAGUUGUGAAAGUUUGCGGCUCAACCGCAAAAUUGCAGUUGAAACUGGCAGGCUGGAGUACAGUAGAGGUGGGCGGAAUUCGUGGUGUAGCGGUGAAAUGCUUAGAUAUCACGAAGAACUCCGAUUGCGAAGGCAGCUUACUGGACUGCAACUGACACUGAGGCUCGAAAGUGUGGGUAGCAAACAGGAUUAGAUACCCGGGUAGUC
This 460-nucleotide ribosomal RNA is filed under the name uncultured bacterium. Its description in RNAcentral is "partial 16S ribosomal RNA". It matches the Rfam family "Bacterial small subunit ribosomal RNA", at positions 338 to 795 of the family's 1533-position model. The record is from RNAcentral.